UCCGUAGGUGAACCUGCGGAAGGAUCAUUACCACACCAAGAUCCAUGAUCUUCCCUAUGAGAAGUUUCCUAGGAUGGUUAACCCGCAACAUAUGCGUUGAGCCCAAUACGGAUAGUCUCCGCAUGCGCGUUUUCGGUCCAACCCCUUCAUUACAAACAUAAACCUACUUAUUAUUCUGCAAAAGGACCGCAAGGUUCCUAAAACCAUUUACAACUUUCAGCAAUGGAUGUCUUGGCUCCCACAACGAGGAAGAACGCAGCGAAAUGCGAUACGUAGUGCGAAUUGCAAUACCUCGUGAAUCAUCAAAAUUUUGAACGCACAUUGCGCUGUCUGGGAAUUCCUGGCAGCAUGUUUGUCUGAGUGUCAGUGGAACCCCACUUGUCUGAACCUUGUUCACGACAGAAUAUGGAGAUUGAUUUUAUCUUCUCUAAAGUGUAUUUCACAGCGAUGCUUCCUGAGCGUUGAUUAAGACUUGUAACAUGUUUCACAGUUGAUGUCAACAUGCACAGCAGCAUUAUUUCCAACACCCUGAUCUCAGCUCAAACAAGAAGACCCGCUGAAUUUAAGCAUAUCAAUAAGCGGAGGA
RNAcentral lists this small RNA (586 nucleotides) under Haslea crucigera. Its description in RNAcentral is "eukaryotic LSU rRNA". The stretch from base 212 to 366 matches the Rfam family "5.8S ribosomal RNA". The record is from RNAcentral. Lineage: Eukaryota; Bacillariophyta; Bacillariophyceae; Naviculales; Naviculaceae.